Molecule: ribosomal RNA, 669 nt
Filed under: uncultured Candidatus Saccharibacteria bacterium
Lineage: Bacteria; Candidatus Saccharimonadota
Description: bacterial SSU rRNA
Rfam family: Bacterial small subunit ribosomal RNA
Source: RNAcentral
CCCGGGUAGUCCACGCCGUAAACGAUGGAUACUAGCUGUNGGAGGUAUCGACCCCUUCAGUAGCGAAGCUAACGCGUUAAGUAUCCCGCCUGUGGAGUACGGCCGCAAGGCUAAAACAUAAAGGAAUUGACGGGGACCCGCACAAGCGGUGGAUUAUGUUCUUUAAUUCGAUGAUAACCGAAGAACCUUACCAGGGCUUGACAUCCAGGGAAGGUCUGCGAAAGUAGACUGUGCCUUUUGGAACCCUGUGACAGGUGAUGCAUGGCCGUCGUCAGCUCGUGUCGUGAGAUGUUAGGUUAAGUCCUUCAACGAGCGCAACCCUUGUGAAUAGUUGUAUUUUUCUAUUCAGACUGCCCCGGUAACGGGGAGGAAGGAGGGGAUGAUGUCAGGUCAGUAUUUCCCUUACGUCCUGGGCUAGAAACGUAAUACAAUGGCUAGUACAAUGCGCAGCGAAGCCGCGAGGUGAAGCAAAUCGCAUCAAAGCUAGUCCCAGUUCGGAUUGUAGGCUGAAACUCGCCUGCAUGAAGUCGGAAUCGCUAGUAAUCGCAAAUCAGCAAGUUGCGGUGAAUACGUUCCCGGGUCUUGUACACACCNGCCCGUCAAACCAUGAAAGUGACCAACACCCGAAGUCCGAUUCGUCGGCCUAAGGUGGGGGGCAUGAUUGGGGUU